This 253-nucleotide ribosomal RNA is filed under the name uncultured bacterium. RNAcentral describes it as "partial 16S ribosomal RNA". It matches the Rfam family "Bacterial small subunit ribosomal RNA", at positions 524 to 776 of the family's 1533-position model. The record is from RNAcentral.
UACGAAGGGGGCUAGCGUUGUUCGGAAUUACUGGGCGUAAAGCGCACGUAGGCUGACAUUUAAGUCAGGGGUGAAAUCCCGAGGCUCAACCUCGGAACUGCCUUUGGUACUGGGUGUCUCGAGUCCGGAAGAGGUGAGUGGAAUUCCUAGUGUAGAGGUGAAAUUCGUAGAUAUUAGGAAGAACACCAGUGGCGAAGGCGGCUCACUGGUCCGGUACUGACGCUGAGGCGCGAAAGCGUGGGGAGCAAACAGG